CGUAUAUUAAAGUUGUUGCAGUUAAAAAGCUCGUAGUUGGAUUUGUGGUGACAGUUGUGGUCCAUUUUUGGUACUAACGAUUGUUGCCAUCCUUGGGUGGAACCUGUGUGGCAUUAACUUGUCGUGCAGGGGAUGCCCAUCGUUUACUGUGAAAAAAUCAGCGCGUUCAAAGCAGGCUUAUGCCGUUGAAUAUAUUAGCAUGGAAUAAUGAGAUAGGACCUUGGUACUAUUUUGUUGGUUUGCGCACCGAGGUAAUGAUUAAUAGGGACAGUUGGGGG
Molecule: ribosomal RNA, 278 nt
Filed under: uncultured diatom
Lineage: Eukaryota; Bacillariophyta
Description: partial 18S ribosomal RNA
Rfam family: Eukaryotic small subunit ribosomal RNA
Source: RNAcentral